RNAcentral lists this unclassified non-coding RNA (334 nucleotides) under soil metagenome. RNAcentral describes it as "partial contains 5.8S ribosomal RNA, internal transcribed spacer 2, and large subunit ribosomal RNA". The stretch from base 1 to 120 matches the Rfam family "5.8S ribosomal RNA", at positions 35 to 154 of the family's 154-position model. The record is from RNAcentral.
GAUGAAGAACGCAGCGAAGUGCGAUAAGUAAUGUGAAUUGCAGAAUUCAGUGAAUCAUCGAAUCUUUGAACGCACAUUGCGCCCGCCAGUAUUCUGGCGGGCAUGCCUGUUCGAGCGUCAUUUCAACCAUCAAGCCCUGCUUGCGUUGGGGUCCUGCGGCUGCCCGCAGGCCCUGAAAACCAGUGGCGGGCUCGCUAGUCACACCGAGCGCAGUAAUACAUCUCGCUUUGGGCGUGCGGCGGGUUCUUGCCGUUAAACACCCCCUUUUUACCAAGGUUGACCUCGGAUCAGGUAGGAAUACCCGCUGAACUUAAGCAUAUCAAUAAGCGGAGGA